GUUCUGGCUCAGGACGAACGCUGGCGGCGUGCCUAAUACAUGCAAGUCGAACGGUCUUUCUAUGGAAGCUUGCUUCCACUGAGAAGAUAGUGGCGAACGGGUGAGUAACACGUGGGUAACCUGCCCAUAAGAGGGGGAUAACAUCCGGAAACGGGUGCUAAUACCGCAUAGUUUUCUUGAUCGCAUGAUCGGGAAAGGAAAGACGGCCUUUGUGCUGUCGCUUAUGGAUGGACCCGCGGCGUAUUAGUUAGUUGGUGAGGUAACGGCUCACCAAGACGAUGAUACGUAGCCGACCUGAGAGGGUGAUCGGCCACAUUGGGACUGAGACACGGCCCAAACUCCUACGGGAGGCAGCAGUAGGGAAUCUUCCGCAAUGGACGAAAGUCUGACGGAGCAACGCCGCGUGAGUGAAGAAAGGUUUUCGGAUCGUAAAACUCUGUUGUCAGAGAAGAACAAGUUGGAGAGUAACUGCUCCAGCCUUGACGGUAUCUGACCAGAAAGCCACGGCUAACUACGUGCCAGCAGCCGC
This 529-nucleotide ribosomal RNA is filed under the name uncultured bacterium. Its description in RNAcentral is "bacterial SSU rRNA". It matches the Rfam family "Bacterial small subunit ribosomal RNA", at positions 16 to 518 of the family's 1533-position model. The record is from RNAcentral.